GAUGCAGCCAUGCCGCGUGUAUGAAGAAGGCCUUCGGGUUGUAAAGUACUUUCAGCAGUGAGGAAGGUGGGGUAUGUUAAUAGCAUAUUCAUUUGACGUUAGCUGCAGAAGAAGCACCGGCUAACUCCGUGCCAGCAGCCGCGGUAAUACGGAGGGUGCGAGCGUUAAUCGGAAUUACUGGGCGUAAAAGCGCAUGCAGGUGGUUUGUUAAGUCAGAUGUGAAAGCCCGGGGCUCAACCUCGGAAUUGCAUUUGAAAACUGGCAAACUAGAGUACUGUAGAGGGGGUAGAAUUUCAGGUGUAGCGGUGAAAUGCGUAGAGAUCUGAAGGAAUACCGGUGGCGAAGGCGGCCCCCUGGACAGAUACUGACACUCAGAUGCGAAAGCGUGGGGAGCAAACAGGAUUAGAUACCCUGGUAG
This 418-nucleotide ribosomal RNA is filed under the name uncultured bacterium. RNAcentral's name for it is "bacterial SSU rRNA". It matches the Rfam family "Bacterial small subunit ribosomal RNA", at positions 385 to 793 of the family's 1533-position model. The record is from RNAcentral.